Long non-coding RNA from Rhipicephalus sanguineus (brown dog tick), 473 nucleotides. RefSeq lists it as uncharacterized. NCBI's taxonomy places the organism in Eukaryota, Metazoa, Arthropoda, Arachnida, Ixodida, Ixodidae. The record is from RefSeq and is a predicted model, not a curated record. The transcript has 3 exons.
CCUUUGAUUCACUGAACUUACUUGCACCGAAUUUGUCGUGUCGAAUCGGUAUAAGCCCGCUUGGCUUUGUCCCGAGGUUAGAACUCCGACCUUUGAUUCAUUGAACUUAUUUGCACAGUAUUCGUCGAGUCGCAUCGGUAGAAGCCCGUUUGGCUUUGUCCCGAGGUUAGAACUCGGGCCCUUGAUUUAUCGCACAUAUUUGCACAGUAUUCGUCGUGUCUAAUCGUUAGAAGCCCGCUUGGCUUUGUCCCGAGGUUAGAACUCGGGCCUUUGAUUCGUUGAACUUAUUUGCAGAGAGCUCGUCGUGUUGCAUCGGCAGAAGCCCGUUUGGCUUUGUCCCGAGGUUAGAACUCGGGCCUUUGAUUCAUUGAACUUAUUUGCACAGAACUCGUCAUGUUGCAUCGGUAGAAGCCCGUUUGGCUUUGCCCCGAGGUUAGAACUUGGGCCUUUGAAUCAUUGAACUUGUUUGCACA